This 648-nucleotide ribosomal RNA is filed under the name uncultured bacterium. RNAcentral describes it as "bacterial SSU rRNA". It matches the Rfam family "Bacterial small subunit ribosomal RNA", at positions 110 to 753 of the family's 1533-position model. The record is from RNAcentral.
GUAAUGCUUAGGAAUCUGCCUAUUAGUGGGGGACAACAUCUCGAAAGGGAUGCUAAUACCGCAUACGUCCUACGGGAGAAAGCAGGGGACCUUCGGGCCUUGCGCUAAUAGAUGAGCCUAAGUCGGAUUAGCUAGUUGGUGGGGUAAAGGCCUACCAAGGCGACGAUCUGUAGCGGGUCUGAGAGGAUGAUCCGCCACACUGGGACUGAGACACGGCCCAGACUCCUACGGGAGGCAGCAGUGGGGAAUAUUGGACAAUGGGGGGAACCCUGAUCCAGCCAUGCCGCGUGUGUGAAGAAGGCCUUUUGGUUGUAAAGCACUUUAAGCGAGGAGGAGGCUACCGAGAUUAAUACUCUUGGAUAGUGGACGUUACUCGCAGAAUAAGCACCGGCUAACUCUGUGCCAGCAGCCGCGGUAAUACAGAGGGUGCAAGCGUUAAUCGGAUUUACUGGGCGUAAAGCGCGCGUAGGUGGCCAAUUAAGUCGAAUGUGAAAUCCCCGAGCUUAACUUGGGAAUUGCAUUCGAUACUGGUUGGCUAGAGUAUGGGAGAGGAUGGUAGAAUUCCAGGUGUAGCGGUGGAAUGCGUAGAGAUCUGGAGGAAUACCGAUGGCGAAGGCAGCCAUCUGGCCUAAUACUGACACUGAGGUG